GAGGUGGGCAAGUUAGUUGCUCCAAAAACAAGAUAAAGUGAUUGAGUUAUUUUCUCAAGCGGGAGUCGGAGUUUAUCUGCUCUGAGAGCCCCAGCAGCUACUAUUAAUAAGUGUCUGGAAUAUGUUCCUGGCAUUUCACCUACCCUCUCUCCAAUCCUUCCAAGAAACUCACAAAGCAGGGCUUUUUCUUGAACUUCUCUUCCUCACAACAGUUAAAUCAUCCAUUUAAAGAUGUCAGACAACCUCCGUGUUCUAAGAACUAUUUACUAAGCUCUAUGGAGACACAGCUACGAGCACCACAUGCUGGACCCCUGAAUAUGGAGGGCCAACUACACUAGAAACACACACACUAGCUGAGAAAGAUGGUGGCUUAAGGGGAAAAAGAAAGAAAGGGGAGUAGAAAUAGAAGAAAAGAAAUGAGAAGGAGAAAACAAAGGAGAAGGAAAAGGAGAAAAGAAAAAUGUAGGAAAAAGUUGUAAGUGCUUACUACAUGCUGUGCCCAUAUUACACAGAGCGCACAUUAUCCAGCUUAGUCUUCACAGAAUGCUGUCAGUGUUAUGAUCCUCAUUUUAACAAUGAAGAAACUGGGAGAUUUGUUCAAAGUUACACACUAGUAAAAAAGUAAAUCUUGAGUGCAACAUAGGU
RNAcentral lists this small RNA (645 nucleotides) under Pan troglodytes (chimpanzee). RNAcentral's name for it is "retained intron". Lineage: Eukaryota; Metazoa; Chordata; Mammalia; Primates; Hominidae. The record is from RNAcentral.